This 1633-nucleotide long non-coding RNA is filed under the name Mus musculus (house mouse). RNAcentral describes it as "predicted gene 10754 (Gm10754)". The record is from RNAcentral. Lineage: Eukaryota; Metazoa; Chordata; Mammalia; Rodentia; Muridae.
GACAGGCCAAGGAGAAUUCUGAUUUCAAAGGGAUGCUUAGAAUCUGUACUGAUGCCAUCUAGAAAUGUAAAUGCUCAGUGUCACACUGCUAAGGGGAGAAAGGGGCUGGUGUGUGGAUUGAGGGGGCAUUGCCAUAGUGUGAAUGUGGACGUCCUGGAACAACAUGUGGGAAUUGGCAUUCUUCCUCCCCCAGUUUCACAGACGUCACCAUUAGACCAAGCCUCGAAUACCUGAGUCUUUGUGGAACAUGAUGGAUUGACAACAAAAUGCUUCUUACUGAGGUGAGAGUAUAAAAGUGAACAACUACUUAUCAUGGACAUUUACCUGGAAACUCGAACUCAAAAUAUAUAAUAUACAUCUUUGCUUCUUUCCUAGUCAGACAUAAGCUGUUGGUGUCUUUCUCAGCCCUCAGAAGAGCAGCUUCUUCUUGCAGCAGACAGAGAUGAAUACAGAUGCACAGCUGGUCAGAAUGAGCAGAAGCAAUGGUGAGCUGCCCAGCCCUAAGCUCAGGAUAUCUAUCACACUCCAGCCCCUUCCCAAGGCUGAAGGAAGUUCACUUAGUAUAUGUUAAUGAACUGUCAUAAUGCUUAUUAAAAACUUAAACGGUAUUUUACUCAGAAUCCUAUUUCUAUGAUAUUAUCCAUAGAGGUACUCUCAAGCUUAAGAAGUUAUUUAAUCUCAAACAUUGGAAAUUUUGACAGUUUUUGGUGUAAAGGCCAUAUUCACAUAUCCAUGGAAUGGAAUGACUUCAGAAUGCCAGAAGUUGUACUCAUGUGUAAAUGUCCCCAGGGAAUGUUUAGAAAUUAUACAAGCAAGGUUCAGGAUACUCAGUAUUCUUUGCACUUGAAGAUAAAUGAUCAUGUAUAUAGAUAUGUAAUGGUUUUAUGUAACACAUUUGUCAGAUAUUUCUGUGAGAGGAGGAAUUGUUUUUACUUUUGCUUCUGAGGAAGGUUUUUCAAUACAGUUGUAGAGUAAAUCACUGUGUUGAACUUGGGGUCUUAUAUAUGAAAGCAUAACUUUGUAUUCUGUGAGUUUUUAACCAUUAACUUACAGUUACUCAUUUUUCAAAAGAUUUCAAAAGACACCCUCUCCUUACACUUUUUUUCUUUGCUUUCCCAAGUGUAGUGAUCACAGCAUCUUUAAUAUGCUCUAUAUCUCAUAUUUUAUUUUUUGUAUGUAGAGGAAUACAGGUAGCUGUCAACUAACCAAGUUUGCAAAAUGAGUUGAUGUUCUUAUAGAUGAUAGAUGUCAUUAGAAACUGAAGGAAUGUAUACUGCUAUUACAUAGUUAUUUGCACACUACAAUUAUAAGAAAUACUUUUUCACAAGACCAUAUAUCUUUCAAACACAUUUAAUAUUUUUUUCUGCUCUUAACUGAAUCAGGUGGGAAACAUACAUGAGUGAAAAUAAAGACUAGAGAAGUUUAAUUAAAAUGUCUACAUCUUAGCAACGUAUCUAAAGUAUUCAUUACCAAUAUUUUAUUUCUUACAUAUUUAACUUGACAUGAACACCUACAAUUCUUGAUGAGAUUUGAUGACUAGUUGGCAUACAUUUUAUUUAACUUACUGUCUAUAUAUUUUGUUAAUUUAUACCUAAUCAUGUUUAAUUAAAUUAUUGAACUCUUAUUUUAUCUC